RNAcentral lists this ribosomal RNA (247 nucleotides) under uncultured bacterium. RNAcentral describes it as "partial 16S ribosomal RNA". It matches the Rfam family "Bacterial small subunit ribosomal RNA", at positions 29 to 301 of the family's 1533-position model. The record is from RNAcentral.
AGCGAACGCUGGCGGCAGGCCUAACACAUGCAAGUCGAGCGGCCGUAGCAAUACGGCAGCGGCAGACGGGAGAGUAACACGUGGGAACGUGCCCUUUGGUUCGGAAUAACGCAGGGAAACUUGCGCUAAUACCGGAUAAGCCCUUACGGGGAAAGAUUUAUCGCCAAUGGAGCGGCCCGCGUCUGAUUAGCUAGUUGGUGAGGUAACGGCUCACCAAGGCUACGAUCAGUAGCUGAUCUGAGAGGAU